UACAUGCAAGUCGAGCGGGGUUAUNUAGAAGCUUGCUUCUACACAACCUAGCGGCGGACGGGUGAGUAACACGUAGGCAACCUGCCCACAAGACAGGGAUAACUACCGGAAACGGUAGCUAAUACCCGAUACAUCCUUUUCCUGCAUGGGAGAAGGAGGAAAGACGGAGCAAUCUGUCACUUGUGGAUGGGCCUGCGGCGCAUUAGCUAGUUGGUGGGGUAAAGGCCUACCAAGGCGACGAUGCGUAGCCGACCUGAGAGGGUGAUCGGCCACACUGGGACUGAGACACGGCCCAGACUCCUACGGGAGGCAGCAGUAGGGAAUCUUCCGCAAUGGGCGAAAGCCUGACGGAGCAACGCCGCGUGAGUGAUGAAGGUUUUCGGAUCGUAAAGCUCUGUUGCCAGGGAAGAACGUCUUGUAGAGUAACUGCUACAAGAGUGACGGUACCUGAGAAGAAAGCCCCGGCUAACUACGUGCCAGCAGCCGCGGUAAUACGUAGGGGGCAAGCGUUGUCCGGAAUUAUUGGGCGUAAAGCGCGCGCAGGCGGCUCUUUAAGUCUGGUGUUUAAUCCCGAGGCUCAACUUCGGGUCGCACUGGAAACUGGGGAGCUUGAGUGCAGAAGAGGAGAGUGGAAUUCCACGUGUAGCGGUGAAAUGCGUAGAGAUGUGGAGGAACACCAGUGGCGAAGGCGACUCUCUGGGCUGUAACUGACGCUGAGGCGCGAAAGCGUGGGGAGCAAACAGGAUUAGAUACC
RNAcentral lists this ribosomal RNA (754 nucleotides) under Paenibacillus sp. LKS-AN-8. RNAcentral describes it as "bacterial SSU rRNA". It matches the Rfam family "Bacterial small subunit ribosomal RNA", at positions 52 to 786 of the family's 1533-position model. Lineage: Bacteria; Bacillati; Bacillota; Bacilli; Caryophanales; Paenibacillaceae. The record is from RNAcentral.